This 342-nucleotide unclassified non-coding RNA is filed under the name soil metagenome. RNAcentral describes it as "partial contains 5.8S ribosomal RNA, internal transcribed spacer 2, and large subunit ribosomal RNA". The stretch from base 1 to 120 matches the Rfam family "5.8S ribosomal RNA", at positions 35 to 154 of the family's 154-position model. The record is from RNAcentral.
GAUGAAGAACGCAGUGAAAUGCGAUAAGUAAUGUGAAUUGCAGAAUUCAGUGAAUCAUCGAAUCUUUGAACGCACAUUGCGCCCGCUAGUAUUCUGGCGGGCAUGCCUGUCCGAGCGUCAUUUCAACCCUCAAGCCCCCGGGCUUGGUGUUGGGGAUCGGCGAGCCUCCGCGCCCGCCGUCCCCUAAAUCUAGUGGCGGUCUCGCUGUAGCUUCCUCUGCGUAGUAGCACACCUCGCACUGGGAAACAGCGCGGCCACGCCGUUAAACCCCCAACUUCUGAACGUUUGACCUCGGAUCAGGUAGGAAUACCCGCUGAACUUAAGCAUAUCAUAAGCGGAGGA